Molecule: ribosomal RNA, 159 nt
Filed under: Kageneckia angustifolia
Lineage: Eukaryota; Viridiplantae; Streptophyta; Magnoliopsida; Rosales; Rosaceae
Also listed under: 8 other names
Description: 5.8S ribosomal RNA
Rfam family: 5.8S ribosomal RNA
About the family: 5.8S ribosomal RNA (5.8S rRNA) is a component of the large subunit of the eukaryotic ribosome.
Source: RNAcentral
GACUCUCGGCAACGGAUAUCUCGGCUCUCGCAUCGAUGAAGAACGUAGCGAAAUGCGAUACUUGGUGUGAAUUGCAGAAUCCCGUGAACCAUCGAGUCUUUGAACGCAAGUUGCGCCCGAAGCCAUCAGGCCGAGGGCACGCCUGCCUGGGCGUCACAC